AUUGAACGCUGGCGGCAGGCCUAACACAUGCAAGUCGAGCGGAGUGGCGGACGGGUGAGUAAUGCCUACGAAUCUGCCCGGUCGUGGGGGAUAACGUCCGUUAACGGGCGCUGAUACCGCAUACUAUUUGAUGAGCCUAGGUCGGAUUAGCUAGUUGGGGGGGUAAAGGCCUACAAGGGCGACGAUCCGUAACUGGUCUGAGAGGCUGAUCAGUCACACUGGAACUGAGACACGGUCCAGACUCCUACGGGAGGCAGCAGUGGGGAAUAUUGGACAAUGGGCGAAAGCCUGAUCCAGCCAUGCCGCGUGUGUGAAGAAGGUCUUCGGAUUGUAAAGCACUUUAAGUUGGGAGGCGUUACCAACAGAAUAAGCACCGGCUAACUUCGUGCCAGCAGCCGCGGUAAUAC
Molecule: ribosomal RNA, 407 nt
Filed under: uncultured bacterium
Lineage: Bacteria
Description: partial 16S ribosomal RNA
Rfam family: Bacterial small subunit ribosomal RNA
Source: RNAcentral